GCUAGAGUGCAGGAGAGGAAGGUAGAAUUCCCGGUGUAGCGGUGAAAUGCGUAGAGAUCGGGAGGAAUACCAGUGGCGAAGGCGGCCUUCUGGACUGACACUGACGCUGAGGUGCGAAAGCGUGGGUAGCAAACAGGAUUAGAUACCCUGGUAGUCCACGCCGUAAACGAUGUCGACUAGCCGUUGGGGUCCUUGAGACCUUUGUGGCGCAGUUAACGCGAUAAGUCGACCGCCUGGGGAGUACGGCCGCAAGGUUAAAACUCAAAUGAAUUGACGGGGGCCCGCACAAGCGGUGGAGCAUGUGGUUUAAUUCGAUGCAACGCGAAGAACCUUACCUACCCUUGACAUCGAGAGAACUUGGCAGAGAUGCCUUGGUGCCUUCGGGAACUCUCAGACAGGUGCUGCAUGGCCGUCGUCAGCUCGUGUUGUGAAAUGUUGGGUUAAGUCCCGUAACGAGCGCAACCCUUGUCCCUAUUUGCCAGCGAUUCGGUCGGGAACUCUAGGGAGACUGCCGGUGACAAACCGGAGGAAGGUGGGGACGACGUCAGGUCAUCAUGGCCCUUACGGGUAGGGCUACACACGUGCUACAAUGGCCGGUACAAAGGGUUGCGAAGCCGCGAGGUGGAGCCAAUCCCGAAAAGCCGGUCUCAGUCCGGAUCGGAGUCUGCAACUCGACUCCGUGAAGUCGGAAUCGCUAGUAAUCGUGAAUCAGAAUGUCACGGUGAAUACGUUCCCGGGCCUUGUACACACCGCCCGUCACACCAUGGGAGUGGAUCUGACACUCAGAACGUGUGUGUAGCCUGAUAUAGUCGUAGCGCAGUCACCUAGAGUCGUGACAACUGCCA
Molecule: ribosomal RNA, 845 nt
Filed under: Halomonas sp. WS_20M
Lineage: Bacteria; Pseudomonadati; Pseudomonadota; Gammaproteobacteria; Oceanospirillales; Halomonadaceae
Description: bacterial SSU rRNA
Rfam family: Bacterial small subunit ribosomal RNA
Source: RNAcentral